GAUGAACGCUGGCGGCGUGCUUAACACAUGCAAGUCGAACGGGAAACCUUUUAUUGAAGCUUCGGCAGAUUUAGCUGGUUUCUAGUGGCGGACGGGUGAGUAACGCGUGGGUAACCUGCCUUAUACAGGGGGAUAACAACCAGAAAUGGUUGCUAAUACCGCAUAAGCGCACAGGACCGCAUGGUCCGGUGUGAAAAACUCCGGUGGUAUAAGAUGGACCCGCGUUGGAUUAGCUAGUUGGCAGGGUAACGGCCUACCAAGGCGACGAUCCAUAGCCGGCCUGAGAGGGUGAACGGCCACAUUGGGACUGAGACACGGCCCAGACUCCUACGGGAGGCAGCAGUGGGGAAUAUUGCACAAUGGGGGAAGCCCUGAUGCAGCGACGCCGCGUGAAGGAAGAAGUAACUCGGUAUGUAAACUUCUAUCAGCAGGGAAGAUAGUGACGGUACCUGACUAAGAAGCCCCGGCUAACUACGUG
Molecule: ribosomal RNA, 478 nt
Filed under: uncultured bacterium
Lineage: Bacteria
Description: partial 16S ribosomal RNA
Rfam family: Bacterial small subunit ribosomal RNA
Source: RNAcentral